Mauremys reevesii (Reeves's turtle) is the source of this 1567-nucleotide long non-coding RNA. RefSeq lists it as uncharacterized. The record is from RefSeq and is a predicted model, not a curated record. The transcript is spliced from 4 exons. Lineage: Eukaryota; Metazoa; Chordata; Testudines; Geoemydidae.
GGGCUGCCCGGAGAGGCUGAGCAAGAAGGCUGCCCUGAGAGCAGCCGCUGCCCAGCAGCUGAUAGGAUACAUGAUGGACAAUUGAAGCCAGAGAAGAGCAGGAGGCUUGGAACGCCCGCCCUGCUACAACUAUCACAGGCAGAAAAAGAGAUAUUUGACCCCAUCUAUUAGUGGCUGUCAUAUACCUCCCACAAAGAAAACAUACAGCUGCGGCAUGCUUUACAGGGUGGAGAACUACAGAGUACAUAAAAUUACACCUCCGCCAGAAGCAAGAGGCUUCAAAGGGAUUCCAGCUGGUGCACAAAUGAAGAAAAACAAAAUAAGUAUGUUAACGAUUUCUACCAGAAAGAAGACGUGUUUAUGCCAACAUACGAUCAGGUCGAUCCCCACUAAACACCAAAUCGCUAAACUGUUUUUAAAUUCUCUGUGGGGUAAAUUUGGCCAAAGAACAAACCUACCCAACACCAGCAUCAUGAGAAACCCUGAAGAAUUCUUUCAGUACCUGUUUUCCCCCCAAUUAUGAGGUUUCAUCCUGUGAGUUUAUCGACGAUGAAACAGCGUGUGUGUCUUGGAAACAUGCAAAAGACCAGUACUCUGUCUCUGGUAAUACCAACGUCUUCAUAGCCUGUUUUACCACCGCUUAUGCCCGCUUAGAACUAUACAACCUCCUAGACAGGUUGCCUGUACCCGACACUGACUCAGUGGUAUUUGCGAAAAGGGUGACUGGAAUCCCCCUCUGGGGGAUUAUUUAGGGGACCUCACGAGCGAGAUCCGGCCGGAUCAACACAUCACUGAGUUUGUGUCGGCAGGCACGAAAACAUACGGGUAUAAGCUGUCAGGUGGAAAGGCCUGUAUGAAAGUCAAAGGUAUUACCCUAAACGUAGCAAAGUGUGAAAAGAUUAACUUUGACAGUUUGAAAGAUCUAAUCCUGGACAAUUGCACGAGCCUGCAAGAAAACACCUCAAAAAAGAUAACUCUGUAUCGUAAGGAACACAAAUCAGCGGCAAAUAGAGACAAAAACCUUAAGAAAACACAGAAAGUUGUUUACAACAAGAGGGUCCUAGGAGAAGGGUUUAAAACCCUGCCGUUUAAAAACGGCUUUUAAAAAUGGAUACGAGGUGAAAACACUCCUUUUCUACAAUUCUCGCGGGGCCUAGCAACUGCGGCAAAAGUUACUUUAUAAAAAAUGUGUUGGAUAACGCCAAACAGACAUUGUCUUUUCUGCCUGAGAAUAUUGUGUGAUGUUACAGUUGUUGGCAACCUCUGUAUAAAGAACUGCUCUGUAAAUGUCCCUUGAUCAAUUUUGAGGAGGGGCUGCCUGAUGCUUUGGACGAUGUCCGUUUGUUUCCUACUAAUAAAGUAAAUAUGAUUAUCAUAGAUGAUCUGAUGAACUCUGCUUUUGAAAGCGAUGAAAUCAAAAAAGCCUUUACCAAGUACGUGCAUCACAGAAACCUGAGCAUUAUGUAUAUACUUCAAAACAUAUUUUGUCAGGGAAAAAAGAGUCGCACAAUAACCUAAACACAAAGUACAUGGUUCUGUUCAAAAACCCCCGGGCUAAAUUACAAAU